GGGAACCACGGCUCAUGGGACCUCAUGUGGUCCCUAGGCAGGUGACUUUUAGUUGAAGGUUAAAUGGUCUUUUCCGGUUUCAAUCUAACUUAAGUGAGGUCGUUUUUCCUAAGGUUAGGACAACUAUAUAAGCCUUUUUAACUCUAAAACUCACCCAAUUAAGUCAUAUUUUCCAAAACCCAAAACAUUUCCCCAAAGUUCAUCCUCUAAAAAUUCUCUCUAGAAAGCUUGAAGAAGAAGGAGAUCCAAGAUAGGGUUCAAGAGCAAGCUUUUACACAUCAAUUUAUUUGUUAUUUUUUGUUAAUGUAUGGUAGUUUUCAUCCAUGGAUAGAUUUCAUCCAUGGAGUCCUCUCAAAAUCACCAAUUUCAAAAAGAUAGAAAUCCUCAAUUGUUAGGGUUUGAUUCCAAAGUAAUGGGUUCCUUUCCAACUUGAUUCUAAUGGUUGAAUUAUGUUGUAUUAAGCAUGAAUUGAUGAUUUUCUAUGAUUUUUUAUGAUGUAUCCCCAAGAACCCAUGAAAUUCCCAUAUUUCUCAAUUGUGAUCUUAUGAUGUGGGUCUUUGUUGAUGAAAGAGGAAUGUUAUGAAAUUAUGCAUGUAGUGAUUAAAUAACAUUAAUUAUAAUCAAAUCCAUAUCUAGUGCUUGAAUUCUAGAUGUGUUGAUUCAAAGCAAGCUUUGAAUCCAUGUCUAAUGCUUGAAUUCUAGAUGUGUUGAUUGAUUUGAACCUUGAAAGGGCAAAGUAUGAGAUCAUGCAUGCUUUAUGACAUUUAUGUAAAUGCUUUAAGAACACUUUGAGAGUGAAGUGUCCAUGAUUCUGAUAUUGUUGUUGUGUUGUUGAAAGGAUAUUCUCAUAUACACACAUAUGCAUGAACAUGAUGUGAAAAGUUUUCUCACAUAAUGAAGAUUCUAAG
Molecule: long non-coding RNA, 908 nt
Filed under: Solanum tuberosum (potato)
Lineage: Eukaryota; Viridiplantae; Streptophyta; Magnoliopsida; Solanales; Solanaceae
Description: long non-coding RNA (STUB_LNC005833)
Source: RNAcentral